AGGAGCUCGGCAAUCAAUAACUUAAAUUACAAAGUAAUUGCACAGGCAUUCACAGCACGCUGCGCUUUCUGCGCCUGCCACCAGCAUCAGUGGCAGUGGGAUCCCGAAGGGGCAGGAUGCAGGGGCAGAGUCAUCGCCAUCGUCGUCGUCAUCAGUAUCAGAUUCAGCAUCGGCAUCAGCAUCAGCAUCAGACUCGGAUUCAGCAUCAUCCGCAGCACCUGAGGUUCUCGGCUCUCGUUCGCCGCUGGCUGUCGUCACAAAUGUUACACUUGAUGGUAAUGAUGAUGGACAGAUUGGUACCAAAGUCACUCAAAAAGCGUUGCCGUUGCCAGCUCCGAUUCUGAUACCCAGACAGCGGCUAAAGCCAAGCCUCAGCCGCGGGCUCUGGACCCGAAGUUGCAGGCCAUCGCCAAGACUGAGACUCUGGCUGAGACUGAAGCUGAAGCUGAGACUGGGGCCAAGCCAAUCCGGUAGCCGGUCUGUCAAUUGAAUUACAAGCUGGCCGAGCAAAUGCUUUCUGAUCAACAUCACAGUCACUGACUGUGGAUGUGGAUGUGGAUAGCAACUGCUACCGACUGACGACUUGGGACUCCAGAUUGCCGACUGCGACCCAGUCGCUGCCAGAGUCUAAAAUUAAAUAUUGCAGCACCCGAUGGUAAAAUCAGUCAACGCACACAUAUAUGGUAUAAUCUAUAUUUAAGUGUUGACACAUUCGACUCCUGGUCAGCCGAAAUCGAUGCGAGAA
Drosophila ficusphila is the source of this 745-nucleotide long non-coding RNA. RefSeq lists it as uncharacterized. NCBI's taxonomy places the organism in Eukaryota, Metazoa, Arthropoda, Insecta, Diptera, Drosophilidae. The transcript has 2 exons. The record is from RefSeq and is a predicted model, not a curated record.